This is a long non-coding RNA of Sander lucioperca (pikeperch), 105 nucleotides long. RefSeq lists it as uncharacterized. The record is from RefSeq and is a predicted model, not a curated record. The transcript has 3 exons. Lineage: Eukaryota; Metazoa; Chordata; Actinopteri; Perciformes; Percidae.
GUCCCUCCGCCUCGCUCCCACCGCAGGGAGACUUCUUUGCUGAGAGAACGGAUGACAGCCCGGGAGAUGGACAGUCUGGUUAGCCAUCUGCCGGUUAUAUAAUAA